This 253-nucleotide ribosomal RNA is filed under the name uncultured bacterium. RNAcentral describes it as "partial 16S ribosomal RNA". It matches the Rfam family "Bacterial small subunit ribosomal RNA", at positions 524 to 776 of the family's 1533-position model. The record is from RNAcentral.
UACGAAGGGGGCUAGCGUUACUCGGAAUGACUGGGCGUAAAGGGCGCGUAGGCGGUUUGCACAGUUAGGCGUGAAAUUCCUGGGCUCAACCUGGGGGCUGCGCUUAAUACAUGUAGACUGGAGUGUGAAAGAGGGUCGUGGAAUUCCCAGUGUAGAGGUGAAAUUCGUAGAUAUUGGGAAGAACACCGGUGGCGAAGGCGGCGACCUGGUUCAUUACUGACGCUGAGGCGCGAAAGCCAGGGGAGCAAACGGG